UACGGGGGGGGCAAGCGUUGUUCGGAAUUACUGGGCGUAAAGGGCUCGUAGGCGGCCUUGUUAGUCGGACGUGAAAUCCCUCGGCUUAACCGGGGAACUGCGUCCGAUACUGCGAGGCUUGAAUCCGGGAGAGGGAUGCGGAAUUCCAGGUGUAGCGGUGAAAUGCGUAGAUAUCUGGAGGAACACCGGUGGCGAAGGCGGCAUCCUGGACCGGUAUUGACGCUGAGGAGCGAAAGCCAGGGGAG
This 245-nucleotide ribosomal RNA is filed under the name uncultured bacterium. Its description in RNAcentral is "partial 16S ribosomal RNA". It matches the Rfam family "Bacterial small subunit ribosomal RNA", at positions 524 to 768 of the family's 1533-position model. The record is from RNAcentral.